Molecule: ribosomal RNA, 301 nt
Filed under: uncultured bacterium
Lineage: Bacteria
Description: partial 16S ribosomal RNA
Rfam family: Bacterial small subunit ribosomal RNA
Source: RNAcentral
CAGCAGCCGCGGGAAUACGUAGGGCGCAAGCGUUGUCCGGAAUUAUUGGGCGUAAAGAGCUCGUAGGCGGUCUGUCGCGUCUGGUGUGAAAUCCCGAGGCUCAACCUCGGGCUUGCAUCGGGUACGGGCAGACUAGAGUGCGGUAGGGGAGACUGGAAUUCCUGGUGUAGCGGUGGAAUGCGCAGAUAUCAGGAGGAACACCGAUGGCGAAGGCAGGUCUCUGGGCCGCAACUGACGCUGAGGAGCGAAAGCAUGGGGAGCGAACAGGAUUAGAUACCCGGGUAGUCCCUGUCUCUUAUAC